Molecule: long non-coding RNA, 6164 nt
Organism: Belonocnema kinseyi
Lineage: Eukaryota; Metazoa; Arthropoda; Insecta; Hymenoptera; Cynipidae
Exons: 5
Source: RefSeq, a predicted model, not a curated record
GAAGGGAAAUUCUUUUUCGGGUUGAAAUGUAGGGUUCAGUGAGUUGAAAAUUCCCCUUCGGCCAUGGGUUCUACCGACGGAAACUGAAAUUAUAUUUUCUGGCCUGAUAAUACCUACAAGGAUAGCCUUGCUGCAAUAUCCACCCUAGUUCCACUGCUGCCUUGACACAAUGCCGACACAAGAUACGAGAAUCAUUCUGAAGAUUUACGAUCGCAAAAUGGCAUGCCUGAUGCGAUUCAUAUGAUCUAUCGAUGCAGUGCUGUGCCCUAUUUAGAUUUCAACAGUCCAAUCGCCUAAUGCACGAAUAAUUUUAUGGGCAUUUUCACAAUCAUCUUUAAAUUUCCUGGUCCUUUUGUACACUAAUAGCUACCAAGCAAAAGUGGACCACUGAUUCUGCAGAAACUUGUCGGUAUAAUAUAACAUGAACAAGUUUGACGAAGGUCAGUGUGACCUUUAACUCAGGGAAUUUGGAAGGAAAUAUUAAUUUCGUACCAAAUACUUCAUGAUUGGUAAUACCGGUUGGUUCAUCGCAGACGUAUUGAAGGAGAACAUCGCAUACACUGUAAAAAAUACGUUUUAAAACUUCAAAUUUGGCAAAUUUCCACAUGUUGUGUAGCAUGACGUCUCUUACAGGUUUCGUUCUAUGACUCUACAUGAAUUCAUACGACGUGUUGAAAAUCACUACGUUCAGAGUGUGUAAAAAAGGACAUACGCUGUACAUAGUUAAAUUCCCCAGACAGCUAACAAGCGGAAGUGGACCAUUAAUUUUGUGGAGACUUAUCAAUUUAAAAUAACAUUUACGAAUUUAAAGAAGGUCAGUGUGACAUAAACUCAGCGAAUUUGGAGGGAAUAUUAACAUCCUACCAAAUACUUCAUGUAAUACCGUUUGAUUCAUGGCAUACGUGUGGAAGGAAAACAUCGCAUAGAGCAACUGCAAGUUUCAAUAUAAUUUCUGACAUACUCUAUGAAAGUAUAGUGACUGAUCGAAUCUAAUAAGGUUCCUUAAGAUCAGGUUUUACAAGGACAGUUUCAAGCUUUGGUCACAAGGUUGUGAUUAUUUUAUAAAUUAAGUUGUAUCAUGAACUUGAAGAACCGCGGCAAACCGCGAGAUUUACUUCAGAAACUUGAAACGGCGGCGUACUGCUAAUUGCAGCGGACAUGAAGACAGGGGCAGACUGCACUGCUAAUGUUGAAAUAGAAAUUGCGGAGGACUGCGAGAUUAACUCCGGACUGAGAAACGGCGGCGAACUGCGCUUGCUGUGUAAAAGGUCCAACCUUUUAUGUGAAGGUGGGUGAACUGAGGUACCACCCUCUCACACGGGUCCUUCCAGAAUAUCCGACUCCCCUUAGGAGGUUUAAAGCAUCUUCUGAUGUCCACGCGGGAUCAAUAUUUUGUCUUUGGACUACAAUUGUUGAACUCCAGGAUAAAGGGGAUGAGUGUCUUGUAGACGAGUGGAAUGAGUGAUGAUAAAUGGUGCAGGAGUUCAAUCUCCUUUAUUUCUUAAGUCUCUUUUUUCUAUUUUCUUAAUAGUAUUAUUGAUCUUUAUACAAUUCAUAUUGAAGGUCACGCAAUACGUGACAGUACACGAUAAGAAUAGAAAUUGGUAACAUGGAUGAGGAUAGAUAAGGAAACAAGAGAGAGAGAGAAUUGGAAAAGAUAGAGAGAGUGAGAUUAGUUCCUUUGAUAAAAUCUUCCUUGAUAAUAGAAGGUCACGCAAGACGUGACAAUUUGGUGGAAAAUGAUUAUUACUUACUUUGGCUUAUAAUUGAUUUGCCUCGUACUCCAUUCCAAUAGUAUUUCCUGAGUCUUUUGGUGAAAGGAUCUGGUUACCUGAAGAUCCUUUUGUAUGGAAUACAAUAUAUUUUCCAAAGCGAUGUGUACUGGGCUCUUAUGCUGAAUUAUGAUGUUAAUUGUCCCUUCUAAUAGAUGAAUGACCCUCCUAGACUUGUCCCGGCAUAGGUUUAGGGACUUAAGAGUGGCGAUUGUGAUCAUGUAUCAGGAGGGUGUUGGGCGUAGUCAAGGUUUUAUAAGAACGAUUUCCAACUGCACAUAUUCCAUUACUUUAGGUGACAGAGAUUUCGUUUACACUUUACACAUCUUUACGAAAACAGAGCUUCGUUUAUACUUUACACAUAUUUACGACGACAGAGCUUCUUUUACACUUUACACACAUUUACGAAAACAGGGCUUGAACGGAAAAAGUGGGCUGACUGACGAGGGCGUUUUUUAGGGGUUUUGUGAGGGAUCUCUCAAAUUAAAGGAAAGGUGGGCGAUUUGGAACGUCGAGAAGCGGGUGUAGUCAAUUAAGGCAUGCGGUGUCGUAGUGGGUGGGUGGCGUCGGAACGUCUGGGGGUUAAGAGACUGGGCAGGCGACCAGGGAGACUAAGACUCGAUGCGAACUGAACAUUCGGAGAUGAGGUUUUUGGGGUAUAUAGGCCGGGGUGGCUCUCCCCACUCCCAAUCCUAGGCCCACAGGGCCGUAUAGUUGUGAGGUGCUUGUAACUUCGUUACAGUUUAUAUAGUCAAAAGUCAUCUUUAAUUGGUGGCUAUUAAAGUCAUAAAUGCGCUGCAUAUUAUCGUGUCUAAACCAAUUAAUGUGCUUCACAUUAACUUUCGUUUGGAUGAUGCACGAUUUACAUUCGGGGUAGUUAUUGAUCGGAGUAUUUUUGGGAAAGUUGACGGGACGUCACAAAUUCUUUCUUUCUCUUUACACGGAUUUUAUCAAGUCUUCUAUACCUAUAUCGUCGUAGUCGUUUAUAUUUUUUAUAGUUUUGAUUAUAUCAUUGGCUGACAUUUAAUCGAUAUAAAUUGAAACCCAGUGGUUUGCCUAUUUUCUGCACCUCUACCAUUUCUCCUGUAGCUCUCUCUGACUAGGGCAUUUGCGUUAGUUAUCUCGUCAUUCAUAUUAUUUUCCAGUCCAUUCACCUUUGUCAAUAUUAUUUUUAACAGUUUGUCAGAAAGGGAUCAUAGAUUUUUUCGACUAUACCUGUAGAGUGCGAGUCCGUUAACGUCUCGUCUGUUGCGUACCUCUUAUUCUCCCUAUAAUAUCUAAAUUCCAGAUUGCCUAACUUUUUUUUGCCUAACUUUCAUUUGACCAAUAGUUUGAAUCCAAAUUUAUAAUAUCCAAUAAUUUUAUAAAUUUUUUGAACAAAAUAAUUAAUCCUCACAAUUUUCUAAUACUUCUUACAAGCUAAUCUUCUUCACUUACAUCAAAAAUAUUUUUUUACUUUGUUGCGGAGGCGCAUAUCCAUCCCUCCUUGUCUUUUUGCCUCGUUGUUGCAAAGAGAGAAUUACCUAUUUUGAUUGGAAAUAAUGUUUCCUUUUGUCCAAAGAAAAAUCCGACCGAACAAAAACUUCCACUACGGUGACAUUCCACUGCACUUUGCUGCAAUGAAUAAUACUGGAGAUAUGAUUAGCCGCCUAUGAUUGAGAUGGUAGUAUACAUUUGACUCGUUAUUACGAUUAGAACUGGAAUAUGAUCGGCCACUCGGGGAUCUGAAGGUCGUAUAGAAUUGACUAGUUGCCUGUCUUAAAGGUCCGAAAUGCGUACAAAUUGUUUGGUAUGACCACAGGGACUGUUUUCUAACAGAAACUCCCUACUCAUUGACUCCCUUUACUGAGAACUAGGAUAGUUGACGGGCCUUCAAGGAGAAUGUCCAGAAUUACUCUGCGAAAGGUCGAAAGACGAACGGCACUGUUGUCCUACCAGAACUGAUAACUGCUUAAUUGACUACUGAGACUAAGAUUACUUCUCGAUUUAGCACCAGGAUAGUUGACGGGCCUUCAAGAGAAUGUCCGGAAUUAUUCAGCAUGACAUCGAAGGACGAACGGCGCUAUCCGAAUAGCACUGAUAAAUGUAUAAUUGACUAAUAAGACUGAGAUUACUUCUGGAUUCAGCACUAGGAAAGUCGACGGGUCUUCAAGAGAAUGUCCAAAAUUAGUCGGUGUCAUGACGAAGGACGAAGGGCACUGUCCUUUAAACAUAACUCAAAACUGUGUAAAUGAAUACUGACUACUGACAGAAAGGUCGGGAUUAUUGCGUCCAACAUUAAAUAUAUAUAUAUAUAUUUGCAAGGGUGGAUCAGGAUAUUGCUGCUCAAGUUCGCAAGAAAUUCAUAUAUAAUGACAUUUAUUCAAUAGAGAUUUAAUACAUGAAAAUUUUGGCAACUGACAUCAAUAUUUGGAUGAGGGUAGAGAGAGGUUAGAGAGCGAGAGAGUGGUAAUGAGGGAGAUAGAGAGACUUGUACCUUGGGGAAAUCUUCUUGGUAUCACACUGCGAGGACUAGUCACUGGAUGAUAAUUCCCUUGGAGCCCUUGUAUUUUUCUCAUUAGUUGCACUUGAAGCUGGUCCUCCUAGGGAGUGGACCGGUACUUGAUAAGUGAUUGGUGAAUAAAUGGUUUUCCUCAUAAAGUUGACGGGGCUUCUGAUGAAGGGUCCGUAAUUCUUAAUUUCGGUUACUUUAGAUCUCAGAGACCCAAAGCUUUCUGGUCUCAGCUUUUUGAGAAUGAACCAGUCAUGAACUCAACCCUGGUAAACUGAAUAGCCGAAGGAUCGUUGGUGAAUUUGCUUGAGUUGUCGCGGAACUACGGUUGAGUCAGUCGCGGAAACUGAUUUGAAUCUAUCGUGUAACUUGAAUUGAGACUUGACUGUUCCUUCGACGGCGAUUGAGAUUAUCACGGCAGACUGCUACUGAAGAUGUAGGGGUCCAUUCUUUUAUAUGAAGGUGGGUGAAUGUAGGUACCACCCUCUUACUCGUGGUCCUGUAGAACCUUCGACUCCUCCUGGGAGGUAAGAAUAUUGUAUCUUCUAUUGUCCACGUGGGAGCGAUAUUAACUCCCUUUGGGAGGCAGGAAACAUGUAGUGUUAUGGUGCACAUAAGAUCAAUACACACAUAUGAAAUACAAGGGUUUAAACUCCAAAAUAAAGGGGAUGAGUAUCUGCUGGACGGGUGGAUUGAGUGAUGAUGAAUGGUCCGUCUACGUACGGGAAAUCCAAUCUCCUUAAUUCUCUUUUCUCUAUUUAGUAUUUUUACCAUUCAUCCUCAUGUUUUAUUCUUAAAUUUUAAAUACAAUAUACAUCAAAGAUCACGUAAUACCUGACACAAUCCUAUUCUGAAUCCCUCAUCUAGCAAUCCACGAUUAUUUAUCUGAUGCCUGUCAAAGACUUGAUCUGCAAUUUCCUUGAUUCUAGUGGCAUAAGAUAACACACUUUCUUUUCCCCACAUAUUUGUGCUACCUAACUCGCCUUCUAAUUGAUAUACGGUUUCGGAAGGAGACUAAAUUUUCUUCAAUCGAUUCAUUAAUUCGUCUAAUCUAUUAAAAGUCAUACUGUAGAUACUUUUAGAUGCUUUCUCUAUAAUUUUGCUUUGUAUUAUUUUAACUAAAUCUUGUUCAACUGUGGGUAUUGUAGGGAUCAUUUGCUUUUCUUCCUCAAACCCUUUAAUAUAAAGUGCAAGAGUAAUAUUUUUGCCAUCAAAUAUGGGGACUAUUUCUACCGUGUCUUGUAGGAAGACGUGUUAGGUCCUAUAAUGGAAUUAGGAACUUAUAUUGGGAUAUAUGAAAAUGCAUAAUAGUUGCCGUUAGCAGGAUAGAGAUUGAUGCGCUGAUAUCCGGUCGAAGGGGAUUUUAAGAUGAAAUCGCCAAGACCUAGGUAAUAUAUUUAAAAGUCACUCCGUACGUGACACUUCACUUUUAGGCUAGGCCGAUUUCUCGCAGUGAUUCCUAUUGCAAUUUUUUGCAAUUUAAUAAUAAUGAAAAUUGAUUCAUUGCUUAUUUCAACUGUUAUUCAUGAAGGUAUGACAAUUGUAAUUUAUUACUAUAAUAAAUUAGGGCGAUUUCUCGCGCUGGUUCCUACUGCAAUUUUCUUUUUCAAUUCAGUGUAAUUGAAAAUUAAUUUAAUGCUUAUUUUAAUUGUUAUUCAUAAAGGUAUGACAAUUGUAAUUCAUUAUUAUAAUAAAUUAGGUCAACUUCUCGCGCAGGUUAUUACUUCUCCAAUGUGUUGUGUCCUAGGAUGGGAAUGAUAAAACAACUAUCAAUGAAGAUAAAGGGGUAUUACAAAUUAAUUUAAUCUGUUACUUAUUUAAAUUAGGCAAAAGAAAAAUUAGGAAAACAGGCAUUUAAAAGUUAUAGAGAAGAUAAAUGUUACACAACUCAAACAGACUCA